UACGGAGGGUGCAAGCGUUAUCCGGAUUCACUGGGUUUAAAGGGUGCGUAGGAGGGCAGGUAAGUCAGUGGUGAAAUCCCCGAGCUUAACUUGGGAACUGCUGUUGAUACUAUCUGUCUUGAAUACCGUGGAGGUGAGCGGAAUAUGUCAUGUAGCGGUGAAAUGCUUAGAUAUGACAUAGAACACCAAUUGCGAAGGCAGCUCGCUACACGAAUAUUGACUCUGAGGCACGAAAGCGUGGGGAUCAAACAGG
Molecule: ribosomal RNA, 253 nt
Filed under: uncultured bacterium
Lineage: Bacteria
Description: partial 16S ribosomal RNA
Rfam family: Bacterial small subunit ribosomal RNA
Source: RNAcentral